Molecule: long non-coding RNA, 314 nt
Organism: Maniola jurtina (meadow brown)
Lineage: Eukaryota; Metazoa; Arthropoda; Insecta; Lepidoptera; Nymphalidae
Exons: 3
Source: RefSeq, a predicted model, not a curated record
UAAUAUAAUUUAGAAUAACAAUUUACAAUUAUUGUUGCCUCACCAACACUUGAAUCAUGUGUUCAAGUAUUGGUGAGUCCAACUUAUCUGCAAACAUGUUCAGGAUGCGGUUGGUACCUGAGCGCAGUCUUGUCAGCAGUGAUGAUGACUUCUUCCGCAUUAUGGCAAAGAAGUCAUCAGUCCGCUCCUCUGCGAACAUACCUGACGCUGAACAAAACCGCGGCAAGCCCAACAGCAUCCUGAACCCGUUGUUAUACUGCACCCUUAGGGUGUCUAUGGCUUUCUUUGAGUAGUUGACCCACAGGCCUCCCGAG